UACAGAGGUCCCAAGCGUUGUUCGGAUUCAUUGGGCGUAAAGGGUGUGUAGGUGGCGCCGUAAGUCGGGUGUGAAAUUUCGGAGCUUAACUCCGAAACUGCAUUCGAUACUGCGGUGCUUGAGGACUGGAGAGGAGACUGGAAUUCAUGGUGUAGCAGUGAAAUGCGUAGAGAUCAUGAGGAAGACCAGUGGCGAAGGCGGCCCCCUGGGCCGUUCCUGACGCUGAGACGCGAAGGCGUGGGGAGCAAACAGG
Molecule: ribosomal RNA, 253 nt
Filed under: uncultured bacterium
Lineage: Bacteria
Description: partial 16S ribosomal RNA
Rfam family: Bacterial small subunit ribosomal RNA
Source: RNAcentral